This 1003-nucleotide ribosomal RNA is filed under the name uncultured bacterium. Its description in RNAcentral is "bacterial SSU rRNA". It matches the Rfam family "Bacterial small subunit ribosomal RNA", at positions 61 to 1070 of the family's 1533-position model. The record is from RNAcentral.
GUCGAGCGACGCAUGCCGGAGGGGUAACCCACUGGUAUGACGGAGCGGCGAACGGGUGAGUAACACGUGAGCAAUCUGCCCCGUAGACCGGGAUAGCCCAGGGAAACCUGGAUUAAUACCGGAUGCCCUCGGUGAAUCGCAUGAUUCCUCGAGGAAAAGCUUUUGCGCUAUGGGAUGAGCCCGCGACCUAUCAGCUAGUUGGUGGGGUAAAGGCCUACCAAGGCAUCGACGGGUAGCUGGUCUGAGAGGACGAUCAGCCACACUGGGACUGAGACACGGCCCAGACUCCUACGGGAGGCAGCAGCAGGGAAUCUUGCGCAAUGGGCGAAAGCCUGACGCAGCAACGCCGCGUGGGGGAUGAAGGCCUUCGGGUUGUAAACCCCUUUCAGGAGGGAAGAAAUUGACGGUACCUCCAGAAGAAGCACCGGCCAACUACGUGCCAGCAGCCGCGGUAAUACGUAGGGUGCAAGCGUUAUCCGGAAUCAUUGGGCGUAAAGAGCUCGUAGGCGGUUCAACAAGUCGGCUGUGAAAGUCCGAGGCUUAACCUCGGAAUUGCAGUCGAUACUGUUGUGACUCGAGUCCGGUAGAGGAGAAUGGAAUUCCCGGUGUAGCGGUGAAAUGCGCAGAUAUCGGGAGGAACACCAGUAGCGAAGGCGGUUCUCUGGGCCGGCACUGACGCUGAGGAGCGAAAGCGUGGGGAGCAAACAGGAUUAGAUACCCUGGUAGUCCACGCUGUAAACGUUGGAUACUAGGUGUGGCGGUCUUACCAACGACUGCCGUGCCGAAGCUAACGCAUUAAGUAUCCCGCCUGGGGAGUACGGCCGCAAGGCUAAAACUCAAAGGAAUUGACGGGUCCCCGCACAAGCGGCCGGAGCAUGCGGCUUAAUUCGAUGCAACCCGAAGAACCUUACCUGGGUUUGACAUCACGGGAAAAGCUGUGAAACACAGUGUCCAUUAGGGCCCGUGACAGGUGGUGCAUGGCUGUCGUCAGCUCGUGUCGUGA